GCAGAACCCUGCAGAAGAAAGAGAAGCGCGAAGAUUGCCACAAAGCAACGUCCAAGAUAUAGCUUCAACGUUGAAGAAGUUGGCUGGCUGACUCCUUUUAAAUCUCAUGGCGAUCCUCAUGUCAUGCGUUACUCCCAAAACGUUGGCGACAUGCACUCCGGAGGUUUCUCGGCAACAACGGGACACAUGUAUUUCUGUCUCAGCUCAUCGCCGGCAAAUCCGAAUCGGCUUAACCAUGAAGUCUUGGGGCACCAGCUGUACCGUUCCGCCGAUGCGGAUAAGAGGAGCAACACGAAUUACUGCAGCUGGUUCCGGUCCUGGAGAAUUGCCAGAAGAAAAAUCACCAAUACCCAACAAAGAGGCUGCAAUUAGUUCGGACCCUGGGGAAUUACCAGGAAAAUCCCCACCGCCCAACAAAUCUUCAUUGGUCACGGUGGUCGUUGGUGGCGUCUUUGGAGCAGUAUCUUUUUACGGACAGAUGAGAGCAAUGGAAGAGAAUGUGGAGAAGACGGCAGAGGUAGCAAUCGAGACUAUCGAGAAAGCGGCGGAUGUGGUUGACAAACUCGCAGACGAAGUCAUAGCAUUUCCCGGUAAUGAAAACCUUAAGAAGGCAGCCUUCAGGAUCAAAGUCAUCGCAGAAGAGAUAGAGAAGGAUGCAGAAGAAGCCGAGGCCCUAAUCCACAAGGUUGAAGAGAUAGAAAAAGAGGUGGAUGCUGCAGUGGAUACUUUCAUGGGGAAGGGCAUGAAGAAGGGAUCGCAGAGACGAAUGGGGUAGCAAAUAAAAGUAACAGUUACUGAUAGUAGAAGUGAACAAAUAAAUAUAGGAUCAUCUUCUCAUUGGAUGUGUAGGGAGUGCUCAACUUUGAUUGGCAAGAAGACCCUUCAGUGGAAAUAAUUUUGAGGCUAGCUAGAAAUCAGCAUUGAGGUUCACCAUGGUUGGGCAUGUGGUGAAAUCAUGUCAAUUACUAUAAACAUGGGGAUCCAUGGUGGAAUCUCAAUGAAACUUUGGGGAAAUGUCAUGGAUAUGGAACCAUUUAUGAUGAUCCAUUUAGUGUGGUCCUUUCUCCAAGCGACGGGGUGCACCCCCCCAUGCGAUGGCGGCUGCACAAGUACUUCCUUCUCUGGUUCGGUUCCCGUAUAUCACUAUAAGCUCCUCAUCCUAUGGUGUUGUACAUGUGUGUAACUUUGUUCACAACUUCCACAUCCUCUAAUGUACAAAUCUACAAACUGUCUAUUUGACUUUGUGUGUGUGUGUGUGUGUGAAUAGUUGUACAGUCCCUAAGCAACAAUAGUCAAGUAUCCAGCAAAUGGUCAGCUAGUAGAUUACAUGAUUACUAGGUAGUUAAUAUACCAAAUUUUAUAUUUGUUAUCUAUAGCCAUACGAUAAAACAAUGAUGGCAACGAUACAAAGAUUUGAAUUUCAUGUUGA
This is an RNA transcript of Triticum urartu, 1429 nucleotides long. RefSeq lists it as uncharacterized. The record is from RefSeq and is a predicted model, not a curated record. NCBI's taxonomy places the organism in Eukaryota, Viridiplantae, Streptophyta, Magnoliopsida, Poales, Poaceae.